CCCGCCCCUCCCCGGUGCUGCUCGGCCCCGCCCCGUCGCCGCCGCCGCCCUUUGUCCGUGGAUGCGCGGCGGGGCCGGUCCGGUGCGGCGGGGCCGGGUGGGAGCUCCAUGCGGGGGUCGCCGUUAUGGGGCAGAUCUUGGGCUUCGCCCACUGCAAGGAUGCUCCAUCCACGGCUUCCACCACACCGGAUUCCACGGAGGGUGGCAACGAGGAGGCAGAAUUCCCCGAGCUGCAAACGGCGGAGCCCCCCGAGAAAGAAGAGGAGGAUGAGGAUGAAAGGGGGGGGGGGACCCCAACCUUCCCCCCACGAACUCACCUUCUCCUAUAUUGCCUUUAGAGGGGAGGGGGGAGGACCCUCCGCUCACCGGGACUCCCGUCGAGGGGGGCGCCACCCCCCCCCCACCCCCACCCCCCGCCGGAAUUUGGGGUCCCCCCGGGGUAC
This is a long non-coding RNA of Cuculus canorus (common cuckoo), 443 nucleotides long. RefSeq lists it as uncharacterized. The record is from RefSeq and is a predicted model, not a curated record. NCBI's taxonomy places the organism in Eukaryota, Metazoa, Chordata, Aves, Cuculiformes, Cuculidae. The transcript is spliced from 3 exons.